AACGAACGCUGGCGGCAUGCCUAACACAUGCAAGUCGAACGAGACCUUCGGGUCUAGUGGCGCACGGGUGCGUAACGCGUGGGAAUCUGCCCUUGGGUUCGGAAUAACAGUGAGAAAUUACUGCUAAUACCGGAUGAUGUCUUCGGACCAAAGAUUUAUCGCCCAGGGAUGAGCCCGCGUAGGAUUAGCUAGUUGGUGGGGUAAUAGCCUACCAAGGCGACGAUCCUUAGCUGGUCUGAGAGGAUGAUCAGCCACACUGGGACUGAGACACGGCCCAGACUCCUACGGGAGGCAGCAGUGGGGAAUAUUGGACAAUGGGCGCAAGCCUGAUCCAGCAAUGCCGCGUGAGUGAUGAAGGCCUUAGGGUUGUAAAGCUCUUUUACCCGGGAUGAUAAUGACAGUACCGGGAGAAUAAGCUCCGGCUAACUCCGUG
This 433-nucleotide ribosomal RNA is filed under the name uncultured bacterium. RNAcentral's name for it is "partial 16S ribosomal RNA". It matches the Rfam family "Bacterial small subunit ribosomal RNA", at positions 29 to 507 of the family's 1533-position model. The record is from RNAcentral.